AGGAAAUAGAUACCCAGGUAGUCCACGCUGUAAACGAUGGGUGCUAGCUGUCGGGAUCCUAGAUCUCGGUGGCGCAGCUAACGCGUUAAGCACCCCGCCUGGGGAGUACGGUCGCAAGAUUAAAACUCAAAGAAAUUGACGGGGACCCGCACAAGCGGUGGAACAUGUGGUUUAAAUUCGAGGCAACGCGAAGAACCUUACCAGGCCUUGACAUGCCCUCUAUAGAAUGCAGAAACGUAUUCUUUCACCUCGGGUGGGAGGAGCACAGGUGCUGCAUGGCUGUCGUCAGCUCGUGUCGUGAGAUGUUGGGUUAAGUCCCGCAACGAGCGCAACCCUCAUUCUCUGUUGCUAACAGGUUAGGCUGAGAACUCUGAGAAAACUGCCGGUGAUAAGCCGGAGGAAGGUGGGGAUGACGUCAAGUCCUCAUGGCCCUUACGGCCUGGGCUACACACGUGUUACAAUGGCGGUGACAAUGCGUCGCUAACCCGCGAGGGUACGCUAAUCGCAAAAAGCCGUCUCAGUUCGGAUUGUACU
This 534-nucleotide ribosomal RNA is filed under the name uncultured bacterium. RNAcentral's name for it is "bacterial SSU rRNA". It matches the Rfam family "Bacterial small subunit ribosomal RNA", at positions 774 to 1304 of the family's 1533-position model. The record is from RNAcentral.